RNAcentral lists this ribosomal RNA (483 nucleotides) under uncultured bacterium. Its description in RNAcentral is "partial 16S ribosomal RNA". It matches the Rfam family "Bacterial small subunit ribosomal RNA", at positions 30 to 507 of the family's 1533-position model. The record is from RNAcentral.
UUGAACGCUGGCGGCAGGCCUAACACAUGCAAGUCGAGCGGAUGAAGGGAGCUUGCUCCUGGAUUCAGCGGCGGACGGGUGAGUAAUGCCUAGGAAUCUGCCUGGUAGUGGGGGAUAACGUCCGGAAACGGGCGCUAAUACCGCAUACGUCCUGAGGGAGCAAGUGGGGGAUCUUCGGACCUCACGCUAUCAGAUGAGCCUAGGUCGGAUUAGCUAGUUGGUGGGGUAAAGGCCUACCAAGGCGACGAUCCGUAACUGGUCUGAGAGGAUGAUCAGUCACACUGGAACUGAGACACGGUCCAGACUCCUACGGGAGGCAGCAGUGGGGAAUAUUGGACAAUGGGCGAAAGCCUGAUCCAGCCAUGCCGCGUGUGUGAAGAAGGUCUUCGGAUUGUAAAGCACUUUAAGUUGGGAGGAAGGGCAGUAAGUUAAUACCUUGCUGUUUUGACGGUACCAACAGAAUAAGCACCGGCUAACUUCGUG